Molecule: ribosomal RNA, 253 nt
Filed under: uncultured bacterium
Lineage: Bacteria
Description: partial 16S ribosomal RNA
Rfam family: Bacterial small subunit ribosomal RNA
Source: RNAcentral
UACGGAGGGUGCGAGCGUUGUCCGGAAUCAUUGGGCGUAAAGGGCGCGUAGGUGGCUUCUUAAGCGUGCGGUGAAAGCCUGGGGCUCAACCCCGGGUCGGCCGUGCGAACUGGGGGGCUGGAGCACUGUAGAGGCAGGCGGAAUUCUGGGUGUAGCGGUGGAAUGCGUAGAGAUCCGGAAGAACACCAGUGGCGAAGGCGGCCCGCUGGGCAGUGGCUGACGCUGAGGCGCGACAGCGUGGGGAGCAAACAGG